This 497-nucleotide ribosomal RNA is filed under the name uncultured bacterium. RNAcentral's name for it is "partial 16S ribosomal RNA". It matches the Rfam family "Bacterial small subunit ribosomal RNA", at positions 28 to 507 of the family's 1533-position model. The record is from RNAcentral.
GAUGAACGCUGGCGGCGUGCCUAAUACAUGCAAGUCGAGCGAACAGACGAGGAGCUUGCUCCUCUGACGUUAGCGGCGGACGGGUGAGUAACACGUGGAUAACCUACCUAUAAGACUGGGAUAACUUCGGGAAACCGGAGCUAAUACCGGAUAAUAUAUUGAACCGCAUGGUUCAAUAGUGAAAGACGGUUUUGCUGUCACUUAUAGAUGGAUCCGCGCCGCAUUAGCUAGUUGGUAAGGUAACGGCUUACCAAGGCAACGAUGCAUAGCCGACCUGAGAGGGUGAUCGGCCACACUGGAACUGAGACACGGUCCAGACUCCUACGGGAGGCAGCAGUAGGGAAUCUUCCGCAAUGGGCGAAAGCUUGACGGAGCAACGCCGCGUGAGUGAUGAAGGUCUUCGGAUCGUAAAACUCUGUUAUUAGGGAAGAACAAAUGUGUAAGUAACUAUGCACGUCUUGACGGUACCUAAUCAGAAAGCCACGGCUAACUACGUG